GAUGAACGCUGGCUGCGUGCUUAACACAUGCAAGUCGAACGGUGAAUCAGGAGCUUGCCGUUGUGGAUCAGUAGCGAACGGGUGAGUAACACGUGAGCAACCUGCCCCAGACUCUGGGAUAAGCGCUGGAAACGCCGUCUAAUACUGGAUAUGUGAUUUGACCGCAUGGUCUGCGUCUGGAGCGCAAUUCGGUUGGGGAUGGGCUCGCGGCCUAUCAGCCUGUUGGUGAGGUAAUGGCUCACAAAGGCGUCGACGGGGACCCGUCUUGAGAGGGUGACCGGCCACACUGGGACUGAGACACGGCACAGACUCCUACGGGAGGGAGGAGUGGGGAAUAUUGCACAAUGGGCGGAAGCCUGAUGCAGCAACGCCGCGUGAGGGAUGACGGCCUUCGGGUUGUAAACCUCUUUUAGCAGGGAAGAAGCGAAAGUGACGGUACCUGCAGAAAAAGCACCGGCUAACUACGUGCCAGCCGCCGCCGUAA
RNAcentral lists this ribosomal RNA (484 nucleotides) under uncultured bacterium. RNAcentral's name for it is "partial 16S ribosomal RNA". It matches the Rfam family "Bacterial small subunit ribosomal RNA", at positions 28 to 523 of the family's 1533-position model. The record is from RNAcentral.